AUACGGAGGGUGCAAGCGUUGUCCGGAUUUAUUGGGUUUAAAGGGUGCGUAGGCGGAUCUUUAAGUCAGUGGUGAAAUCCUGCAGCUUAACUGUAGAACUGCCAUUGAUACUGGAGAUCUUGAGUAUACUAGAGGUAGGCGGAAUUUAUGGUGUAGCGGUGAAAUGCAUAGAUACCAUAAAGAACACCAAUAGCGUAGGCAGCUUACUGGAGUAUAACUGACGCUGAGGCACGAAAGCAUGGGUAGCGAACAGGAUUAGAAACCCUAGUAGUCC
This 274-nucleotide ribosomal RNA is filed under the name uncultured bacterium. RNAcentral's name for it is "partial 16S ribosomal RNA". It matches the Rfam family "Bacterial small subunit ribosomal RNA", at positions 523 to 796 of the family's 1533-position model. The record is from RNAcentral.